RNAcentral lists this ribosomal RNA (402 nucleotides) under uncultured bacterium. RNAcentral describes it as "bacterial SSU rRNA". It matches the Rfam family "Bacterial small subunit ribosomal RNA", at positions 355 to 774 of the family's 1533-position model. The record is from RNAcentral.
UCGGGAAUUUUGGGCAGUGGGCGAAAGCCUGACCCAGCAACGCCGCGUGAGGGAUGAAGUAUUUCGGUAUGUAAACCUCGAAAGAAUGGGAAGAAUAAAUGACGGUACCAUUUAUAAGCUCCGGCUAACUACGUGCAAGCAGCCGCGGUAAUACGUAGGGAGCAAGCGUUGUUCGGAUUUACUGGGCGUAAAGGGCGCGUAGGCGGCGCGGUGAGUCACUUGUGAAAUCUCUGAGCUUAACUCAGAACGGCCAAGUGAUACUGCUGUGCUAGAGUGCGGAAGAGGCAACCGGAAUUCUUGGUGUAGCGGUGAAAUGCGUAGAUAUCAAGAGGAACACCUGAGCCGAAGGCGGGUUGCUGGGCCGACACUGACGCUGAUGCGCGAAAGCCAGGGGAGCAAACG